AGUGAACGCUGGCGGUAGGCCUAACACAUGCAAGUCGAACGGCAGCACAGUAAGAGCUUGCUCUUACGGGUGGCGAGUGGCGGACGGGUGAGGAAUACAUCGGAAUCUACUUUUUCGUGGGGGAUAACGUAGGGAAACUUACGCUAAUACCGCAUACGACCUACGGGUGAAAGCAGGGGAUCUUCGGACCUUGCGCGAUUGAAUGAGCCGAUGUCGGAUUAGCUUGUUGGCGGGGUAAAGGCCCAACAAGGCGACGAUCCGUAGCUGGUCUGAGAGGAUGAUCAGCCACACUGGAACUGAGACACGGUCCAGACUCCUACGGGAGGCAGCAGUGGGGAAUAUUGGACAAUGGGCGCAAGCCUGAUCCAGCCAUACCGCGUGGGUGAAGAAGGCCUUCGGGUUGUAAAGCCCUUUUGUCGGGAAAGAAAAGCAGCAGGUUAAUACCCCGCUGUUCUGACGGUACCCAAAGAAUAAGCACCGGCUAACUUCGUG
RNAcentral lists this ribosomal RNA (492 nucleotides) under uncultured bacterium. Its description in RNAcentral is "partial 16S ribosomal RNA". It matches the Rfam family "Bacterial small subunit ribosomal RNA", at positions 29 to 507 of the family's 1533-position model. The record is from RNAcentral.